RNAcentral lists this long non-coding RNA (1076 nucleotides) under Sander lucioperca (pikeperch). RNAcentral's name for it is "lncRNA (ENSSLUG00000018421.1)". Lineage: Eukaryota; Metazoa; Chordata; Actinopteri; Perciformes; Percidae. The record is from RNAcentral.
GUUUCUUCUUCUUUCCUUUUUUGUACCUUUUUGCCUCCUUUUAUUUUAUUUCUUCACCUUUCCUUUCUGUUGUUUUCUAUUUUUUCCUUUCCUUUGUCAUUUCUUUCUCUUUCCUUUUCUUAACUUUCACUUUGUUUCUUCUUGUUUCCUUUCCUAUUCUUACCUGUCUUCUCCUUUCCUUCUCUGUCCUUCUUUUCCUGUCACAGAGCUGGGCCAGGAGUCAAUGCCAUCCCACAAUGCCACAGUAGUGGUAUCAGCAGCAGGUGUGAUGCCAUACCUCCAGGGUCGAGCUGGAGGGGGAGAACUAAACAGCACCCAUUCUAUCUCCACAAACCCUUCUGCUUCCUCUUCUUCUUCUUCCUCCUCCAUCUCCUGUGACAGGCAGCCAGCUCCUCCCGGAACCAUGGUGAGCUCCCAUCUGCAGGAACAGUGCUAUUCCUUGGGUUUAAGUCACUCAGGCCUUGGUCCGCCUCCACCUAAACCCCCUGGAGGAGUUUAUACGGCAACAGGCCAGCGCCACAGCUCAGAUGGCUGCCCCCUGGCUAGCAUGGUAAGCAGUGGUCAGGGCUCUCUGUUGGGCGAUCCUCCUAAAGAAGUGAGACUGCCCUCCAAUCCUUAUCUGAACCUGGCCAGUGUCAUGCCAGGGAUGGUUAUGCAAGGGUCAGUGGGGAGUAAAGCACAGGGAGGACAGCCUGGCUCUGGGGUUUACGGCAGCUCGGUUGCUCCCGUCGUCUCCCAGGGUUCCGGCUCCUUCUCCCACAACGCAACAGCUACAACCACAGCCCAAUACAGCACUGAUCCCUCCACUGACUACAGCCAAUACAACCAGGCCUACACACAGGAGGCCAUGCAGCAGUGGUACCAGCACUACCAAGCACAAGCUCAAGCUCACACCUACAGCACCGCUGCUCAGCAGGACAACACUGCCACAGACUACAGCAAGGAGCACACACAGGCUCCUCCGGUGACGACCUAUGGGGAUUACAGUUCCUACAUGCAGGCAGUCACUCAGUACUACUCCCAGCCUGCAACAGCCAACCAGGCCUACGUCAGCAAGGUACACACACACACGGCUG